ACGCUCGACACCUACGGGAUGCAGCAGUCGGGAAUAUUGCGCAAUGGAGGAAACACUGACGCAGUGACGCCGCGUAUAGGAAGAAGGUUUUCGGAUUGUAAACUAUUGUCGUUAGGGAAGAGAAAGGACAGUACCUAAGGAGGAAGCUCCGGCUAACUACGUGCCGGCAGCUGCGGUAAUCUGAGCGGGCUGGCAAGGC
RNAcentral lists this ribosomal RNA (199 nucleotides) under uncultured bacterium. Its description in RNAcentral is "partial 16S ribosomal RNA". It matches the Rfam family "Bacterial small subunit ribosomal RNA", at positions 326 to 539 of the family's 1533-position model. The record is from RNAcentral.